Molecule: long non-coding RNA, 428 nt
Organism: Beta vulgaris subsp. vulgaris (sugar beet)
Lineage: Eukaryota; Viridiplantae; Streptophyta; Magnoliopsida; Caryophyllales; Amaranthaceae
Exons: 2
Source: RefSeq, a predicted model, not a curated record
AAAUACCCUCAUUUAUUGGGGCUCCUCUCCUCUAUAAAUAGGGGUUGUCUCAUCAGACAAAGGAUUCCGAUGUACGGAUAACGGAGCUCAGGCGUACCUUCUUGGGGCCCAUAUCAAGUUUCUCAGCACACAUCAACACUUGUGAUCACCCUCAAUUUUUUAGCAGAAACAGUAUUGCAUAUCUUUAAAUGAGUUCUGCAUAGUACAAAUAAAACUGAAUUUUAUAAAGAAGUUACCUGGACAUCAUAAAAUUUAAUGUAGAAUCUGGAGGUAUCAAUAGAUAGCUUAGUUUGGAGAAUUUCUGCAAUAAGUGAACUUAAUUUGCCAUUAACAGUGGGGCCAAGUCCACCAAUGGAGAUCAAUUCUCCAUAUGCAGCUGCUUCUUCAGUCCCCGCAAAUGCAAUUGGAACUCCUCCAUUUAUCAACAC